This 504-nucleotide ribosomal RNA is filed under the name uncultured bacterium. Its description in RNAcentral is "partial 16S ribosomal RNA". It matches the Rfam family "Bacterial small subunit ribosomal RNA", at positions 28 to 507 of the family's 1533-position model. The record is from RNAcentral.
GACGAACGCUGGCGGCGUGCUUAACACAUGCAAGUCGAACGGUGAAGCGCUUGCCUUUUUGGUGGGUGUGGAUGAGUGGCGAACGGGUGAGUAACACGUGAGUAACCUGCCCUCUUCUUCUGGAUAACCUCAUGAAAGUGGGGCUAAUACGGGGUAUUCCGGGUCUGUCGCAUGGCGGGUUUGGGAAAGAUUGCGCCUUUGGGUGUUUUCGGUGGGGGAUGGGCUCGCGGCCUAUCAGCUUGUUGGGGGGGUGAUGGCCUACCAAGGCGGUGACGGGUAGCCGGCCUGAGAGGGUGGACGGCCACACUGGGACUGAGGCACGGCCCAGACUCCUGCGGGAGGCAGCAGUGGGGAAUAUUGCACAAUGGGCGCAAGCCUGAUGCAGCGACGCCGCGUGAGGGAUGGAGGCCUUCGGGUUGUGAACCUCUUUCGCCAGUGAAGCAGGCCUGCUCCUGUGUGGGUGGGUUGACGGUAGCUGGAUAAGAAGCGCCGGCUAACUACGUG